This 253-nucleotide ribosomal RNA is filed under the name uncultured bacterium. Its description in RNAcentral is "partial 16S ribosomal RNA". It matches the Rfam family "Bacterial small subunit ribosomal RNA", at positions 524 to 776 of the family's 1533-position model. The record is from RNAcentral.
UACGUAGGCAGCGAGCGUUGUUCGGAGUUACUGGGCGUAAAGGGUGUGUAGGCGGUUCUCUAAGUUUGGUGUGAAAUCUCCCGGCUCAACCGGGAGGGUGCGCCGAAAACUGGAGGGCUAGAGUGCGGGAAGGGAGAGUAGAAUUCCUGGUGUAGCGGUGAAAUGCGUAGAUAUCAGGAGGAAUACCGGUGGUGCAGACGGCUCUCUGGACCGCAACUGACGCUGAGACACGAAAGCGUGGGUAGCAAACAGG